This is a non-coding RNA of Lophiostoma macrostomum CBS 122681, 70 nucleotides long. The record is from the annotation of a GenBank genome assembly. NCBI's taxonomy places the organism in Eukaryota, Fungi, Ascomycota, Dothideomycetes, Pleosporales, Lophiostomataceae.
GGGCUUGUGGUUUAGUGGUAUAAUUUUCCCUUAGCAUGGGAAAGGUCCUGGGUUCGAGUAUGUUGUCCCU